GAUUCCAGGAUUUCUCUGAAUUUUAAAGUGAUCAAAAGUAAGUUCCUAUACCGAGAACCAAUCCAAUUAAGUCUGUAGCAUCUACCAAUUUCUCCAUAUCCCCCUUUUCUUUUCAUGUGAGAUUAGGAUCUUGUUUUAAUGUCUUUCAUUUAUACGAGAACAAUUGAAUUGCUUAGUACUCAAUCCUGAUAUUGAAGUAAAGGUUGAUAAAUUAAUUUGAUACGCUAAAGUUAAAAUUUGAAUGGUUAGAUGAAUAGCACCAAGAUUGAGGCCCAGUAAUGACGAAGCUAUGUAUAAAUCCCCAUUAAGGCAAAAGAGUUACGUGACUUCUUCUCAUCUGCCUAAGCCUUAGUGGCCACUAUUACUCGAUACCUAUGUUGGUAGGAGAAUGCAAGUACGUGGUGAAAAAUAGUCCAGAUGCGUGCAGGUUGGUGGGGCACCACUAUUGUCCCAAAAUAAAUGAAUUCUUGAAAGUUGUGACAGUUAUAUGUAAUAUUUAUUGUUUACCAGUGUUGUGAAGAGCGUGAAGCGAGGAAAAGCGACAUGCCCCUUUUCGCUUAAAGCGAGAAGCGAAGCGCUCGCUUUUUUGAAGUGAAACGGAAUUUUAAAAAAAUAUAUAUUAAAAUAAGAAAGAACAACUGAAACGAAAAACUAAGAACACCUAAGAAGAAGGCCAUUAAAAGAAUAACUACAUAACACAUAAGAAAGGCAAUAAGAACUAAGAAUAAAGGAUAUGAAAAUAAGAAGGGCAGUAUAAGUAUAACUGAAACGAAAAAAUUGGGCAGCAUUUCAAACGAAAAAACAGUGCAAGAAAAUGAAGAAGAAGAGGAGGAGAAGAAUGAGAAAGAAAAACUGAAGGGAAAAAAAAUUCGCCAGCAUUUCGCUGCUAUUUGGACGCUGAAACAGUGAAAGAAAAAGAAAAAGAAGAAGAAGAAGAAGAAGAAGAAGAAGGAAGAAGAAAUCACAUACUUGGACCAAACUUGAUGAUCUUGAAGUUGAAAAGUGUAGAGAACUUGAACCCUAGGUUGCCUCUUUCUUUCUUUGUUGCUGCUCGUUGAUGAUGUUUUAAAAAAAGAACAGUUUUUUUAAUUAAAUAGGUUGGCAGCCCUGUAAUACAGAUCGCUUCUUACGCAUCGCUUCGCAUCUGCGCUUCUCGCUUUUUAAUGGGAAGCGAGCGCUUUUUUAAACCUACUACGCUUCAGCUAACAGAAGCGUUUGAUGGUUCGCCUCGCUUCGCUUCUCGCUUUAAGCGAGGAAGCGCUCGCUUUUCACAACACUGUUGUUUACUGUCAAAUACUUUGAAACAUUUCAAAAUGGAAAGAGUGCCAUAUAAACAGGAACCAAGAGAGUACUAUUAAUGUUUUAAACAGAUAAUGGAAUUUUCAGCUGUGACCAGGAUAAUUUAUUGUUUGAUUGGAGUGAUUGUUAAAGCAAUGUUUUGAGAAUUCAACCGUCAUAUGUAUACCCGGGACUUCAUAAUGAUGCAUUUGUGGUCCUUGGAGACAGAAAGAGAAAAGUUGAUAGGAGUAAUAGGAGCUGUUUUUAAUCCAAUUAUGAACUAUUCCGAAGGACUGGUAAAUUUGGGAGUUUAGCAAGAUAAGUUGGAACUUGGAAGUAGCACCUAUAUUCAACCAAGUGCCUAUACUACUCUUAGUUGCCCCCUUUUUGUCGUUAAGAAUCAGUAGUUCAAGUAUAGUACAUGAAAUAAAUAAAAUUUUGAUAAGGUUUGGGCAACCGAAGCAUGAAUAAAUUUUCUCUAAAAAAGAAUGUGUCAAAGCUCGAAACAACAACAACAACAAACCCAGUAUAUUCCCACAAGUGGGGUCUGGGGAGGGUAGUGUGCACGCAGAACUUACCCCUACCUAGUGAAGGCAGAGAGGCUUCAAAGCUCGAAAGACCUAAUAAAUUAUUUUGGGAGUGGUUACCGUCACAUGACAUGUGCCUUUAUGAUUGGAAUUACCUCUUUUUGCUAGAUACACUAAGUUUUGUCUACUCUGAUUGUGUAAGAUCUAGAUUAAAGAGCUCAUUGAAGUGAUGAUAAUUGACACUUCACGUUGGUGCAAAUCCCCUCCGCGUUUGAUCAGUUUAUGCCUUCUUGGUUGGUCCUAACCCUCAAAGGGCCUGACAUUAGCGGAAGAAUGAGAGAAAUUCUUAUUGAUUGGUUGAUUGAAGUCCACCACAGAUUUGAACUGAUCCAGAGACUCUUUGAUAGGGAAAAACUGUACCAGACAUGAACAUUUUUUGAUAUCUCCAUCUCGUUUCAUUUUUGAAUGAGUUUCACCUGUAGUUGAAUGCAAAUUUUGUGUCUAGAAACAGCUUUUAAUCUGGUCAAAUGGAAUACAUUCAUUCUUGAUUAAAGAAAUUGGUGGCUGUGUGAGGGCUUGAAAUCUCCCAGUAAAAGCUUAUUGUGCAAAAUGGAUUUGGUGUCUCAAUCUUCCAGACAGAGCUCUCUGGAAAAUGGUCAUUUGCACAAAAUAUGACAUGGACAAGAUCCUCUUCUCCACCUCUUGGCUUAGGUGUGCGGAAGCAUAUCAGAGUCCUUUGUCGCUACUUUUGGGAACAAUGCUCCUUAAAAGUAGGUGAUGGAAGAAAGAUUAAAUUUUGGCGAGACUUGUGGCUUGGACACACCCCCCUUAUGAACAGAUUUCCUGCUUUUUCUAGAUGUGCAUUCAACCAACACUCUUUCUUAGCCAAACUUGAGUCAAGUUGGCCCGCAUUACAUCGUGGGCGUCACAUUCACCCCCCUCCCCCAGGGGGUUCAGCGUCCUCCUCACCACCGUACUGAGGGAGUGUCAGACUUUGAUACCAUAUUUGUCACAGCCUAAGCUGAUGGCAUAUAGGGGUGUACAUGAGUCGGGUUGGUUUGGGUUUUACCAAACAACUAUCAAUUUUGUCGGUUUUAUCGUGUUUUUUCGUUUUUUCCCACAUGAAUAUUAUUUCAUUACUUUAUUAGAGUUAUAGAUAAAAUUUUAAUAAGUUAAUAUAUAUUUGGUAUGAAUUAAACAAAUUGACAAACAUAUGAUCUAUUAAAAUAUUCUUAUGAGAUAAUAUUUUAGUAAGACAUUAUAGUUAUUUGUUUUGUCUAACAAUAAUUUUCAUUGAUGUACGUUUCAAGCUUAACUGAAUUUUAAUAAUUAAAACAAAAAUCAUAUAAAACCUAAGUAAUGAUAUGUUCUGUUUAAUUUUAAAACUUACGGAUAAAACACCAUUUCAAAUUUGAAAAAGAUAUAAGAUUUUAAUAGAUCUUGACAUAUGAACAUGGGAGAACGAAGAGAUUGACGCAUUUCAAUAAUACAAGAUAAGAAAGUAAUGAUACACGUUAAAAUCAAGUAUUAUUUAAAGUAAAUAAAAAUAGAUGCACUUUAUACUUCUAUGAAAUAUUACAUUCAUGAAAGGAUCACAAAUAUUUCUAGACAUUUUUAGUAGAAAUCCUAAAUAAAAGUUUAGAAGUAUAUAUAAAAAUUAUAUACUUAUAUGUCGGUUUGAUUCGGGUUUUUUUACUCAAUACCAAACCAAACCAAACCUAGUCGGGUUUUUUAAUCAGUUUGGUUUGACUUUUCGGUUAGAUGUAGUUUUCUGGUUUGGUUUGAACACCCCUAAUGGCACGUCUCAUCCGCUUUGGCGCAACAGACCUCAAGCUUAACUGAAUUUUAAUAAUUAAAACAAAAAUGAUAUAAAACCUAAGUAAUGAUAUGUUCUGUUUAAUUUUAAAACUUACGGAUAAAACACCAUUUCAAAUUUGAAAAAGAUAUAAGAUUUUAAUAGAUCUUGACAUAUGAACAUGGGAGAACAAAGAGAUUGACGCAUUUCAAUAACACAAGAUAAGAAAGUAAUGAUACACGUUAAAAUCAAGUAUUAUUUAAAGUAAAUAAAAAUGGAUGCACUUUAUACUUCUAUAAAAUAUUACAUUCAUGAAAGGAUCACAAAUAUUUCUAGACAUUUUUAGUAGAAAUCCUAAAUAAAAGUUUAGAAGUAUAUAUAACAAUUAUAUACUUAUAUGUCAGUUUGAUUCGGGUUUUUUUACUCAAUACCAAACCAAUCCAAACCUAGUCGGGUUUUUUAAUCAGUUUGGUUUGACUUUUCGGUUAGGUGUAGUUUUCUGGUUUGGUUUGAACACCCCUAAUGGCACGUCUCAUCCGCUUUGGUGCAACAGACCUCACAAAUUUGUCCCCUGGGCUACGCCAUCAUCGUGCCCAAAAGGGCGCAUACCGUGUGAAUUUGUGUUAUGCCGUAUAAAACUCUUCACUUUCCUCUCCAUUCCGAUGUGAGAUUCGCUUAAGGUGUUAUGCACCCCUUCUUCAGAAGCUUGCCAGCUUAGAAGCCUGUCAGUCCUUCUCUUUGACCCAUCCUCCAUCAUGGGCAUCACAACUAGAGAGUAUGAGGGGGUGGUGGUGGUGUGGAGAAGACGUAAUAGAAGAGGAAGAUGGGAAGAGCUCCUUGUUGUGAUAAGGCUAAUGUGAAGACAGGGCGAUACCGCGAUAGUCACCUGAAGAAGAUGCUUAGCUCAAAGAUUUUAUUGUAAAUAUGGAAGUGGUGGAUAUUGGAUCGCUCUUACUCAAAAAGCUGGUAAUUAAAGACUUCUAAUCAAAUGUGUGUGUCUCUGCGUGUAUUGAUGGGAUAUAUAUUUGGAUCAGUAUGAAAGAGAUGUGAGAAUAGUUGCAGAUUGAGAUGGCUAACUUAUCUUAGACCUAACAUCAAGCAUGGUAAUUUUUCUGAUGAGGAUGGAGUGAAACAAAAGAGUGAAUUGAAGCUGCUGCAUCCAAAUUAAAUAAAGGGUGUAAUUUUUAUUCAGCUAUUUCCAUCUCUUGUUUGAUUUUUCUCUAAAUUUGACUUUUAUCUUCUUUUAUAUAAUUCUGUCGUAUUUUAACAUCAGACCAUAUGAUGAGUACCUCUUUUUUGAAAGAAAAUAAGACCCGGUGUAUGUCUUUCAUCUCUUAAAAUUAAAAUGACCAUCCGGCAUAACAUGCAAAUGAACUAAAACAUAACAAAUUUCAAACAACAUUUAUAGAUGAACAUAUCCUUGUAAUGUUGACGGGUCUACUUAUCCUUCAACCAUGUACUAUUCCUUAAAGAUACAUACAAAAACAAAGAACUAUUAUAUAAUGAUUAGCAGGGAAAACCAAAGCACAUAAAUAUCCAUAGUAUCUUGAGGAGAUUGAAACGAAAGGACUUUUCAAGUGUUAAAUUAAUUUACUACCUCCAUUUUAUAUUCUCUUUAUUUUUCAUCCCUGAAAUUGUUAAAUGAGGGGUUUAAGUGAAAUGGAGGCCUUAUUUAGAAUUAGUAGACUUAUGGGUUUUUAAAUCUAAAUAUAAAAUAAAAAUCCUAUCUCUAAAAUCAGAUAUCUUGACUUCCUCUUCGUCAUCUUCGAGUUCGAACACAAUUGCUCCUUUUCCACUCCUUCAAUGCUCCUUCACUCUCAAAACUAAUCACCAUACUCGUCGAUUAUACCACGAGCCUAUUUGGGUUAGCUGAUUGUAAAUAACUGAUAGGCUUGAAGUACUGAAAAGCAUUUUUAAGUGCUUAAACUGAUUUUAUAAAUAAGUAGUUACGUAUUUGGAUAGAAAUGCUGACAUUGAUAAUAAACAAGUGAUAUAUUUGGUAAAAAAGUGUCGAUAAGCUUUUGUUUUACAAAAAAUUAUAAAUCUAAAAGUAGCUUUGUAAAGAAAAGGAGGAGCGGCAAAUUAAUGGAAUGAAGAAAAUUUAGGAGUUUUAUUUUGGGAAAGGUAUUUUUUGAGUUAGAAAAAUAUUAUUAAGGAUAAAACAGUAAAAGUCUUGGUCAACUUAAAAGUGCUUAUAAGCUGAAAAGUCAUAAGGGUAACCAACUUAUGAUUUUUGGCUGAUUUUGGCUUAUAAGCACUUCACUUAUAAGCACUUUGGAUGACAAGAGUGGGUUGCUCUAGUGGUGAGCACCCUCCACUUCCAACCAAGAGGUUGUGAGUUCGAGUCACCCCAAGAGCAAGGUGGGGAGUUCUUGGAGGGAGGGAGCCGAGGGUCUAUCGGGGAACAGCCUCUCUACCCCAGGGUAGGGGUAAGGUCUGCGUACACACUACCCUCCCUAGACCCCACUAGUGGCAUUAUACUGAGUUGUUGUUGUUGUUGUUGUUGUUAUAAGCACUUUGGGUAUUUACCAAAAGUGUAGAUAAGUCAAAAAGUUCUUAUAAGCCAAUUUGAUCAGCUUAUAAGCUUAUGCAAACACUCU
RNAcentral lists this long non-coding RNA (6200 nucleotides) under Nicotiana tabacum (common tobacco). RNAcentral describes it as "long non-coding RNA (NTAB_LNC006229)". Lineage: Eukaryota; Viridiplantae; Streptophyta; Magnoliopsida; Solanales; Solanaceae. The record is from RNAcentral.